This 497-nucleotide ribosomal RNA is filed under the name uncultured bacterium. RNAcentral's name for it is "partial 16S ribosomal RNA". It matches the Rfam family "Bacterial small subunit ribosomal RNA", at positions 28 to 507 of the family's 1533-position model. The record is from RNAcentral.
GAUGAACGCUGGCGGCGUGCCUAAUACAUGCAAGUCGAGCGAACAGAUGAGGAGCUUGCUCCUCUGACGUUAUCGGCGGACGGGUGAGUAACACGUGGAUAACCUACCUAUACGACUGGGAUAACUUCGGGAAACCGGAGCUAAUACCGGAUAAUAUAUUGCACCGCAUGGUUCAAUAGUUAAAUACGGUUUUGCUGUCACUUAUAGAUUGAUCCGCGCCGCAUUAGCUAGUUGGGAAGGUAACGGCUUACCAAGGCAACGAUGCGUAGCCGACCUGAGAGGGUGAACGGACACACUGGAACUGAGAAACGGUACAGACUCCUACGGGAGGAAGCAGUAGGGAAUCUUACGGAAUGGGGGAAGGCCGGACGGAGCAACGCGGCGUGAGGGAUGAAGGUGUAAGGAUCGGAAAACUAUGUUAGUAGGGAAGAACAAAUGUGUAAGUAACUAGGAACGUAUUGACGGUACCUAAUCAGAAAGCCACGGCUAACUACGUG